AUAGUGAUCUAGAAGCCUCUAUUAUGGGCUAUAUUUGCAUUCAGUUUCAUUUUCUCUCUCUUUGGAAGUCAUAACUGCCACAACCAGGUCUGUAAGCACACUUCUUUCAUCAAGGCCAAGCAGAAUGUCAUGACAUUUCUAUAUAAGCUUGAUCCUGUUUUUCAGUUCGUUGCAGGCUGUUCCCGGUGUCGUGUUCUCUGUGUGUUGCUUCCUGGUUUUUGGAUUCUGGACUUUCAUUGUGUGCCCUGUUUUCUGGGUUGGAUUAUCCUUGUUCUCUGAUACCCGCUGUAGCCCUGCGCCACCCGGUGCCACGCCACUCCGCACGCCUCCGUUCUGCACGCCACAGCCUCUGCCUCAACUGACCCUUGGAGUGAAGUUAUUGUACAGCGUUUUCCUGUCAAUAAAUAUUGUUAUUCUUGCA
Long non-coding RNA from Ctenopharyngodon idella (grass carp), 421 nucleotides. RefSeq lists it as uncharacterized. The record is from RefSeq and is a predicted model, not a curated record. The transcript is spliced from 2 exons. Lineage: Eukaryota; Metazoa; Chordata; Actinopteri; Cypriniformes; Xenocyprididae.